This 757-nucleotide ribosomal RNA is filed under the name Streptomyces sp. RNAcentral's name for it is "bacterial SSU rRNA". It matches the Rfam family "Bacterial small subunit ribosomal RNA", at positions 83 to 852 of the family's 1533-position model. Lineage: Bacteria; Bacillati; Actinomycetota; Actinomycetes; Kitasatosporales; Streptomycetaceae. The record is from RNAcentral.
CGGGGUGGAUUAGUGGCGAACGGGUGAGUAACACGUGGGCAAUCUGCCCUUCACUCUGGGACAAGCCCUGGAAACGGGGUCUAAUACCGGAUAACACUCCUACAGGCAUGUGUGGGGGUUGAAAGCUCCGGCGGUGAAGGAUGAGCCCGCGGCCUAUCAGCUUGUUGGUGAGGUAGAAGCUCACCAAGGCGACGACGGGUAGCCGGCCUGAGAGGGCGACCGGCCACACUGGGACUGAGACACGGCCCAGACUCCUACGGGAGGCAGCAGUGGGGAAUAUUGCACAAUGGGCGAAAGCCUGAUGCAGCGACGCCGCGUGAGGGAUGACGGCCUUCGGGUUGUAAACCUCUUUCAGCAGGGAAGAAGCGAAAGUGACGGUACCUGCAGAAGAAGCGCCGGCUAACUACGUGCCAGCAGCCGCGGUAAUACGUAGGGCGCAAGCGUUGUCCGGAAUUAUUGGGCGUAAAGAGCUCGUAGGCGGUCUGUCGCGUCGGAUGUGAAAGCCCGGGGCUUAACCCCGGGUCUGCAUUCGAUACGGGCAGACUAGAGUGUGGUAGGGGAGAUCGGAAUUCCUGGUGUAGCGGUGAAAUGCGCAGAUAUCAGGAGGAACACCGGUGGCGAAGGCGGAUCUCUGGGCCAUUACUGACGCUGAGGAGCGAAAGCGUGGGGAGCGAACAGGAUUAGAUACCCUGGUAGUCCACGCCGUAAACGGUGGGAACUAGGUGUUGGCGACAUUCCACGUCGUCGGUGCCGCAGC